UACGUAGGGACCAAGCGUUGUUCGGAUUUACUGGGCGUAAAGGGCGCGUAGGCGGCGUGUUAAGUCAGCUGUGAAAUCUCCAAGCUUAACUUGGAACGGUCAGCUGAUACUGAUGUGCUAGAGUGCGGAAGGGGCAAUCGGAAUUCUUGGUGUAGCGGUGAAAUGCGUAGAUAUCAAGAGGAACACCUGAGGUGAAGACGGGUUGCUGGGCCGACACUGACGCUGAGGCGCGAAAGCUAGGGUAGCAAACGGG
Molecule: ribosomal RNA, 253 nt
Filed under: uncultured bacterium
Lineage: Bacteria
Description: partial 16S ribosomal RNA
Rfam family: Bacterial small subunit ribosomal RNA
Source: RNAcentral